GAUGUCAGAAGGUCUAAAUAGGGUUUUCAGGGUGAAAAAUAAUGGUUAAACAACAACGAAAAUAGUAAAAUAAGCAAUAAAAAAGUAAUAAAGAAUAAUCGGGUGCCAAAGAAAAAAAGAAUAAUUCAAGAAUUUUAUUUAAAUUAUCCCUGGAAAUGAACUAUGUACAGAACUGAGAAAUUAUACAAUUACAGAAAUGGACUAUGU
Molecule: long non-coding RNA, 207 nt
Filed under: Mytilus galloprovincialis (Mediterranean mussel)
Lineage: Eukaryota; Metazoa; Mollusca; Bivalvia; Mytilida; Mytilidae
Source: RNAcentral